CAGUCUGCAACUCGACUGCACGAAGUCGGAAUUGCUAGUAAUCGCGGAUCAGCAUGCCGCGGUGAAUACGUUCCCGGGCCUUGUACACACCGCCCGUCACACCAUGAGAGUCGGAAACACCCGAAGUCGGUAGUCUAACCUCGUGAGGACGCCGCCGAAGGUGGGCUUGAUAAUUGGGGUGAAGUCGUAACAAGGUAGC
RNAcentral lists this ribosomal RNA (199 nucleotides) under uncultured bacterium. RNAcentral describes it as "partial 16S ribosomal RNA". It matches the Rfam family "Bacterial small subunit ribosomal RNA", at positions 1301 to 1500 of the family's 1533-position model. The record is from RNAcentral.